Molecule: ribosomal RNA, 489 nt
Filed under: uncultured bacterium
Lineage: Bacteria
Description: bacterial SSU rRNA
Rfam family: Bacterial small subunit ribosomal RNA
Source: RNAcentral
AGAGUUGAUCCUGGCUUAGGACGAACGCUGGCGGCGUGCUUCAUACAUGCAAGUCGAACGAGAAGCUCACUUCGGUGAGUGGAAAGUGGCGGACGGGUGAGUAAUAUGUAGAGAAUCUGCCCUAGAGAGAGGGACAACAGAGGGAAACUUCUGCUAAUACCUCAUAUGCGCGUAGCUGAGAUGCUAUUCGUGAAAACUCCGGUGCUCUAGGAUGAGUCUGCAUCUGAUUAGCUAGUUGGCGGUGUAAUGGACCACCAAGGCGACGAUCAGUAGCUGGUUUGAGAGGAUGAUCAGCCACAAUGGGACUGAGACACGGCCCAUACUCCUACGGGAGGCAGCAGUAGGGAAUUUUGCGCAAUGGGCGAAAGCCUGAACGCAGCAACGCCGCGUGAAUGAAGAAGCCCUUCGGGGUGUAAAGUUCUGUCAGUGGGGACGAAACUUGACGGUACCCACAGAGGAAGCACCGGCUAACUCCGUGCCAGCAGCCGC